This is a long non-coding RNA of Ochotona curzoniae (black-lipped pika), 671 nucleotides long. RefSeq lists it as uncharacterized. NCBI's taxonomy places the organism in Eukaryota, Metazoa, Chordata, Mammalia, Lagomorpha, Ochotonidae. The record is from RefSeq and is a predicted model, not a curated record. The transcript is spliced from 2 exons.
UCCAGGCUAGCGCCCACAAACAUGGCGGAACGGCCUGGAGGGAGGUUGUUCUGAAUCAUCUCCGCACCCUACCUGACUUUAACCAGUGCUUGCCCAGGCGGUGCCCGAGACCUGGGAGCGCUCCUUCGUGCUCCGAGUACGCAGACACACCGGGCCGCACUUGGUGCUGUUGUGCAGAGUUCUAUGAUUUUCCAGAAUUGACCGGAGGAGCAGAAAGCAUGGAUAUUGUGGAGCUAAAAACCCCGUUUGAGGUGAGGUGAAAUUUUCUUCUGCGAAUUACUUUCUGGUUUAUUUUCCCCUGAAUUGGUGCUUUCUACUUUGUAUUGGUAACCAAGUCUGGUUUGAGAUUUACCGGCGUGAACUGUUAAACUCUCCUUUUACAAUCAGGCAUCCCAUCCCAUGGGCUCUGGGUGGGUUUUAGUAUCUGCGUAUUUGUGAAAUUUAUUUAAAAUUUCUGCAUCUUAAUUUCUUCAUUUAUAAAAUGGAGAGCCUGAUAGCACUCACUGAGAGGUUUGUAAAAAUGACUAAAUUAAUGCAUGGAACACUCUUAGAAUACUGGCACUUAACAAUAUAUUCCAUUUACAUAAGAUGUUACAAUCAUGUGUACAAAGUUGGCUGUGGAUUAAGAAAAAUGAAAAUAUAAAAUUGUGUUGGAUAUUUGCAAAUAAGAA